This 292-nucleotide long non-coding RNA is filed under the name Cavia porcellus (domestic guinea pig). RNAcentral's name for it is "lncRNA (ENSCPOG00000040369.1)". The record is from RNAcentral. Lineage: Eukaryota; Metazoa; Chordata; Mammalia; Rodentia; Caviidae.
GUAUGAUCCUGCAAAGCAUCUUUGGAGGUAUAAUCCCAUGCUAAAGAGGGCUGGGAUUCAAGGUGUGCUUUCCUUUGGGGGCCACUUGUAACACGGUGGCCAGGUUUCACUAUACCAGCACUGACUUGUGAUGAAAAUCCAGUCAGUGUGAGUAGCUUCUCUGGAACAUCUGGGGCCUGCAGCAGCUGGAGAAGAAAUGAGGCUGUGUAAUUACAACGUCUGCAUACAGCUGGUGAUGCAGCUUCCUGCACUGACUCUGUCCGCAGCAGCCCUGCCCUCCCUCUGAUUUCUG